This 253-nucleotide ribosomal RNA is filed under the name uncultured bacterium. RNAcentral's name for it is "partial 16S ribosomal RNA". It matches the Rfam family "Bacterial small subunit ribosomal RNA", at positions 524 to 776 of the family's 1533-position model. The record is from RNAcentral.
UACGAAGGUGGCAAGCGUUGUUCGGAUUUACUGGGCGUACAGGGAGCGUAGGCGGUUGGGUAGGCCCUCCGUGAAAUCUCCGGGCCUAACCCGGAAAGUGCGGAGGGGACUGCUCGGCUAGAGGAUGGGAGAGGAGCGCGGAAUUCCCGGUGUAGCGGUGAAAUGCGUAGAGAUCGGGAGGAAGGCCGGUGGCGAAGGCGGCGCUCUGGAACAUUUCUGACGCUGAGGCUCGAAAGCGUGGGGAGCAAACAGG